This 341-nucleotide ribosomal RNA is filed under the name uncultured Sandonidae. RNAcentral's name for it is "SSU rRNA". The stretch from base 128 to 341 matches the Rfam family "Eukaryotic small subunit ribosomal RNA", at positions 743 to 955 of the family's 1831-position model. Lineage: Eukaryota; Cercozoa; Glissomonadida; Viridiraptoridae. The record is from RNAcentral.
GAUUUCUGACAUGAAUAUGUUUAACCCACCACGGUUACGUGUGUGAGUGUUGAAUCAUAUUUGUCAUCCUUCUAGAAAAUAUAUGAUUGGAGUAAUCUUCAUUGAUUAUUUCAUUGUAUUUCUUUUUCUAGAUCUUUUACUUUGAAAAAAUUAGAGUGUUUAAAGCAGGCUAUAUUGCUAUGAAUACAUUAGCAUGGAAUAAUAAUUUAGGACUUUAGUUCUAUUUUAUUGGUUUUUAGUAACUGAAGUAAUGAUUGAUAGGGAUAGUUGGGGGUGCUCGUAUUCAGUGGCCAGAGGUGAAAUUCUCGGAUUCACUGAAGACGAACUUAUGCGAAAGCAUU